Long non-coding RNA from Astatotilapia calliptera (eastern happy), 653 nucleotides. The record is from Ensembl. Lineage: Eukaryota; Metazoa; Chordata; Actinopteri; Cichliformes; Cichlidae.
GGGCAUCUCACUGGCAGUCAUGAAGUGCCAUCUAUUGGCAGGCAGGGGAACGGCAUCAUGAAAGUGCUGCAGUGCAACAGGGAAUUAAGUUUUUCAUUAUCCUGCAAGUCUAACAUAACGCCACAGGCUCAUGAAGCUUGUGCCACUGUGUUUCUUUUGGCCCCUUCCAUAAUUACAAACUCUUUUGAUUUUGAGAUGACACGGUACUGAAUUUUUUUUUUUUUUCUGAUUACUUAUUCAUAGCAACUGUCCUUACCUAAGUUUCACUCUCAGAGCUUUGUGUCUUUGUGUCUUUUCGUCCUGCUUUGGCUGUCAGUCACUGUCAGAGAUCUGCUCUGUUCAUAUAGGGGGAGAAGGGGGAGCCUGGAGUCCUGGGGGAAAAGGGGGAGAAAGGAGAAAGAGGAGAUCCUGUACGUAUUUUCCUGCACUGACAUUUACAAUGCCGCUGCGUUACAGAGUCAUUAACCGAGGCUUCCCUCCCUCUCCCACAGGGUCAGCCAGGUGCCGAGGGAUCCGGCGGCAUGAAAGGACAAAAAGGUGAUGUCGGCCCUCCUGGUCCUCCCGGUCCUGUGAUGACAGCACAUGGAUUAAGACAGCUUUCUGGAACUGACGAAAUGAAGGAAAGAGCCCUAAAAGGAGAAAAAGGAGAUGAG